RNAcentral lists this transfer RNA (75 nucleotides) under Dehalococcoidia bacterium. Its description in RNAcentral is "tRNA-Thr". It matches the Rfam family "tRNA". From Rfam's summary of the family: Transfer RNA (tRNA) molecules are approximately 80 nucleotides in length. Their secondary structure includes four short double-helical elements and three loops (D, anti-codon, and T loops). The record is from RNAcentral. RNAcentral also lists the same sequence under 2 other names. Lineage: Bacteria; Bacillati; Chloroflexota; Dehalococcoidia.
GCCGGCGUAGCUCAGUGGUAGAGCAGCGGUUUCGUAAACCGCAGGUCAAGGGUUCGAAUCCCCUCGCCGGCUCCA